AACGAACGCUGGCGGCAUGCCUAACACAUGCAAGUCGAACGAGACCUUCGGGUCUAGUGGCGCACGGGUGCGUAACGCGUGGGAACCUGCCCUUAGGUUCGGGAUAACUCCCCGAAAGGGGUGCUAAUACCGGAUAAUGUCUUCGGACCAAAUAUUUAUCGCCUUUGGAUGGGCCCGCGUUGGAUUAGCUAGUUGGUAUGGUAAAAGCCUACUAAGGCGAGGAUCCAUAGCUGGUCUGUGAGGAUGAUCCGCCACACUGGGACUGAGACACGGCCCAGACUCCUACGGGAGGCAGCAGAGGGGAAUAUUGGAAAAUGGGCGAAAGCCUGAUCCAGCAAUGCCGCGUGAGUGAUGAAGGCCUUAGGGUUGUAAAGCUCUUUUACCCGGGAUGAUAAUGACAGUACCGGGAGAAUAAGCUCCGGCUAACUCCGUG
This 433-nucleotide ribosomal RNA is filed under the name uncultured bacterium. RNAcentral describes it as "partial 16S ribosomal RNA". It matches the Rfam family "Bacterial small subunit ribosomal RNA", at positions 29 to 507 of the family's 1533-position model. The record is from RNAcentral.